ACGGCUCAGUAACACGUGGCUAACCUGCCCUUGGGACAAGAACACCCCCGGGAAACUGGGGCUAAUUCUUGAUAGGUGAAGAACUCUGGAAUGAGUCUUCGCCCAAAAGACGUUGGGGUUAUGCUCUCCAGCGCCGCCCAAGGAUGGGGCCGCGGCCGAUCAGGUUGUUGGUGAGGUAAUGGCUCACCAAGCCUUUUACCGGUGCGGGCCGUGAGAGCGGGAGCCCGGAGAUGGGCACUGAGACAAGGGCCCAGGCCCUACGGGGCGCAGCAGUCGCGAAAACUUUGCAAUAAGCGAAAGCUUGACAGGGCUAUCCCGAGUGCCAUCCGCUGAGGAAGGCUUUUACCCAGUCUAGAACGCUGGGGGAAUAAGGAGAGGGCAAGUCUGGUGUCAGCCGCCGCGGUAAUACCAGCUCUCCGAGUGGUGUGGAUGUUUAUUGGGCCUAAAGCAUCCGUAGCUGGCUAGGUUAGUCCCCUGUUAAAUCCACCGAAUUAAUCGUUGGAUUGCGGGGGAUACUGCUUGGCUAGGGGACGAGAGAGGCAGACGGUAUUUCCGGGGUAGGGGUGAAAUCCUAUAAUCCCGGGAAGACCACCAGUGGCGAAGGCUGUCUGCUAGAACGCGCCCGACGGUGAGGGAUGAAAGCUGGGGGAGCGAACCGGAUUAGAUACCCGGGUAGUCCCAGCUGUAAACGAUGCAGACUAGGUGUUUGGACGGCCACGUGCCGUUCUAGUGCCGCAGGGAAGCUGUUAAGUCUGCCGCCUGGGGAGUACGAUCGCAAGAUUGAAACUUAAAGGAAUUGGCGGGGGAGCAC
RNAcentral lists this ribosomal RNA (811 nucleotides) under uncultured archaeon. Its description in RNAcentral is "bacterial SSU rRNA". It matches the Rfam family "Archaeal small subunit ribosomal RNA", at positions 85 to 879 of the family's 1478-position model. The record is from RNAcentral.